CAAAGGAGCGAUCCGGUGGCGGAUGGGCAUGCGGCGCAUUAGCUAGACGGCGGGGUGACGGCCCACCGUGGCGACGAUGCGUAGGGGUUCUGAGAGGAAGGCCCCCCACACUGGGACUGAGACACGGCCCAGACUCCUACGGGAGGCAGCAGUGAGGAAUAUUGGUCAAUGGGCGGAAGCCUGAACCAGCCAAGUCGCGUGAGGGAUUAAGGCCCUGCGGGUCGUAAACCUCUUUUGCCGGGGAGCAGUGGUCCGGACGCGUCCGGGCCGGGAGAGUACCCGGAGAAAAAGCAUCGGCUAACUCCGUGCCAGCAGCCGCGGUAAUACGGAGGAUGCGAGCGUUAUCCGGAUUUAUUGGGUUUAAAGGGUGCGUAGGCGGGCAUUUAAGCCGGCGGUCAAAUGUCGGGGCUCAACCCCGGCCUGCCGUCGGAACUGGGUGCCUUGAGUGGGCGAGAAGUAUGCGGAAUGCGUGGUGUAGCGGUGAAAUGCAUAGAUAUCACGCAGAACCCCGAUUGCGAAGGCAGCAUACCGGCGCCCUACUGACGCUGAGGCACGAAAGUGCGGGUAUCGAACAGGAUUAGAUACCCUGGUAGUCCGCACAGUAAA
This 606-nucleotide ribosomal RNA is filed under the name uncultured bacterium. RNAcentral's name for it is "bacterial SSU rRNA". It matches the Rfam family "Bacterial small subunit ribosomal RNA", at positions 202 to 806 of the family's 1533-position model. The record is from RNAcentral.